Non-coding RNA from Rhodocollybia butyracea, 98 nucleotides. Lineage: Eukaryota; Fungi; Basidiomycota; Agaricomycetes; Agaricales; Omphalotaceae. The record is from the annotation of a GenBank genome assembly.
GGAGCGAUGGCCGAGCGGUUAAGGCGUGUGACUCAAGCUGCAUAAGCUUCCCUUCUCAUCAUCGUAUGAUGGCGUGGGUUCAAGUCCCACUCGCUUCA